GAUGAACGCUGGCGGCGUGCCUAAUACAUGCAAGUCGAGCGAACAGACGAGGCGCUUGCUCCUCUGACAUUAGCGGCGGACGGGUGAGUAACACGUGGAUAACCUACCUAUAAGACUGGGAUAACUUCGGGAAACCGGAGCUAAUACCGGAUAAUAUAUUGAACCGCAUGGUUCAAUAGUGAAAGACGGUUUUGCUGUCACUUAUAGCUGGAUCCGCGCCGCAUUAGCUAGUUGGUAAGGUAACGGCUUACCAAGGCGACGAUGCGUAGCCGACCUGAGAGGGUGAUCGGCCACACUGGAACUGAGACACGGUCCAGACUCCUACGGGAGGCAGCAGUAGGGAAUCUUCCGCAAUGGGCGAAAGCCUGACGGAGCAACGCCGCGUGAGUGAUGAAGGUCUUCGGAUCGUAAAACUCUGUUAUUAGGGAAGAACAAAUGUGUAAGUAACUAUGCACGUCUUGACGGUACCGAAUCAGAAAGCCACGGCUAACUACGUG
RNAcentral lists this ribosomal RNA (497 nucleotides) under uncultured bacterium. Its description in RNAcentral is "partial 16S ribosomal RNA". It matches the Rfam family "Bacterial small subunit ribosomal RNA", at positions 28 to 507 of the family's 1533-position model. The record is from RNAcentral.